CUCAACGGUUUGUGUAGCCAUAAAUCUUAUUUUGUAUUCAGUGAGAUCUGUUGACUUUGUAUAUCAUUCCGCUGUAAAUAAACGAUCUUAUCAUAGAUCCAUUGUGAUCUUGAAAUUAUAUUUAUAUUUAUAUUAUUUAUAUUUAUAUUUAUAUUUAUAUAUAUUAUUUAUAUAAUUAUAUAAUAAUGGAAACAGCAACUUUAGUCGCCAUCUCUAUAUCUGGUUUACUUGUAAGUUUUACUGGGUACGCCUUAUAUACUGCCUUUGGGCAACCCUCUCAACAAUUAAGGGAUCCAUUCGAGGAACACGGGGACUAAUUGAAAUAAUGAAAAAUCAUUUCAUUUUUUUAGUUGGAACUUUAGGCGGUUCUCGAAAAAAGAUAGCGAAAAAAAUUAUCCCUAGAGUAGAUACUAAGAGGAAUGUAUAAACCAAUGCUUCCAUAAAUUCGAUCGUGGUUUACAAUUAUAGCUUCCG
Non-coding RNA from Durio zibethinus, 474 nucleotides. The record is from RefSeq and is a predicted model, not a curated record. NCBI's taxonomy places the organism in Eukaryota, Viridiplantae, Streptophyta, Magnoliopsida, Malvales, Malvaceae.